GGAGAGGUGCCGGAGUGGUCGAACGGGCUGGUCUCGAAAACCAGUGUGGCUGUACGGUCACCGUGGGUUCGAAUCCCACCCUCUCCGCCA
RNAcentral lists this transfer RNA (90 nucleotides) under bacterium. Its description in RNAcentral is "tRNA-Ser". It matches the Rfam family "tRNA". From Rfam's summary of the family: Transfer RNA (tRNA) molecules are approximately 80 nucleotides in length. Their secondary structure includes four short double-helical elements and three loops (D, anti-codon, and T loops). The record is from RNAcentral. RNAcentral also lists the same sequence under 2 other names.